This 74-nucleotide transfer RNA is filed under the name Mucilaginibacter sp. OK098. Its description in RNAcentral is "tRNA_Pseudo_GCA". It matches the Rfam family "tRNA". From Rfam's summary of the family: Transfer RNA (tRNA) molecules are approximately 80 nucleotides in length. Their secondary structure includes four short double-helical elements and three loops (D, anti-codon, and T loops). The record is from RNAcentral. Lineage: Bacteria; Pseudomonadati; Bacteroidota; Sphingobacteriia; Sphingobacteriales; Sphingobacteriaceae.
AGUCGCGUGACCGAGAGGAUAGGCUGGAGUCUGCAAAACCCCACACGGCAGUUCGAAUCUGCCCGCGACGUCUA